Molecule: ribosomal RNA, 620 nt
Filed under: uncultured Verrucomicrobiota bacterium
Lineage: Bacteria; Pseudomonadati; Verrucomicrobiota
Description: bacterial SSU rRNA
Rfam family: Bacterial small subunit ribosomal RNA
Source: RNAcentral
UCCUUUGGCGGCGUGGUUAAGACAUGCAAGUCGAACGCUAAUUCUGGUGUAGCAAUAUAUCAGAGUUGGAGUGGCGCAAGGGUGCGUAACACGUGGGUAAUUUGCCCUGAAGUUGGGGAUAACUCGCUGAAAGGCGAGCUAAUACCGGAUGUGGAAUCGAAGUGGCAUCACUUUGCUUCUAAAGCUGGGGAUCGUAAGACCUGGCGCUUCAUGAUAAGCCCGCGGCCUAUCAGCUAGUUGGUGAGGUAACGGCUCACCAAGGCUAAGACGGGUAGCUGGUCUGAGAGGACGACCAGCCACACUGGAACUGAGACACGGUCCAGACACCUACGGGUGGCAGCAGUCGAGAAUUUUUCUCAAUGGGCGCAAGCCUGAAGGAGCGACGCCGCGUGGGGGAUGAAGGGUUUCGAUCCGUAAACCCCUGUCAUUCGUGAACAAUGGUUACCGUUGAAUAUUCGGUGACUUGAUAGUAACGGAAGAGGAAGGGACGGCUAACUCUGUGCCAGCAGCCGCGGUAAUACAGAGGUCCCGAGCGUUGUUCGGAUUCACUGGGCGUAAAGGGUGCGUAGGUGGCUUGGAAAGUUUGAUGUGAAAGCUCAGGGCUUAACCCUGAAAUGGCA